RNAcentral lists this transfer RNA (75 nucleotides) under Candidatus Kaiserbacteria bacterium RIFCSPHIGHO2_01_FULL_50_13. Its description in RNAcentral is "tRNA-Arg". It matches the Rfam family "tRNA". From Rfam's summary of the family: Transfer RNA (tRNA) molecules are approximately 80 nucleotides in length. The record is from RNAcentral. Lineage: Bacteria; Candidatus Kaiseribacteriota. RNAcentral also lists the same sequence under 2 other names.
GCCCUCGUCGUUCAACGGAUAGGACGCGACGCUUCGGACGUCGUAAUGUGGGUUCGACUCCUGCCGAGGGCACCA